RNAcentral lists this ribosomal RNA (412 nucleotides) under uncultured fungus. Its description in RNAcentral is "bacterial SSU rRNA". It matches the Rfam family "Eukaryotic small subunit ribosomal RNA", at positions 273 to 644 of the family's 1831-position model. Lineage: Eukaryota; Fungi. The record is from RNAcentral.
GCUUGUUUGCCGGGAUGGUUCAUUCAAAUUUAUUUGGCCUAUAUCAAACUUUCGGAUAUGUUGAGGGUCUAUGAGCCCCAUACACAAUUGGUUUCAAGAGGGGUAACCGGGGAAUUAAGGGUUCUAUUCCCGGAGAGGGAGCCUGAGAAACGGUGACAAUUCCCAAGGGAAGGCAGCAGGGCGGCGCAAAUUAACCCAAUCCUCGGAUUCAGGGAGGUAGUUGACAAUUAAAUACUGAUACUAGGGGCCUCUUUUUGGGUCUUGUAAUUUGGGAAUGAGUACAAUUUAAAUCCCCUUAACGAGGAACAAUUUGGAGGGCAAAGUCCUUGGUGCCAGCAGCCCGCGGUUAAUUCCAGCUCCAAUAGCGUAUAUUAAAGUUGUUGCAGUUAAAAAGCUCGUAAGUUGAACCUUG